Molecule: ribosomal RNA, 494 nt
Filed under: uncultured bacterium
Lineage: Bacteria
Description: partial 16S ribosomal RNA
Rfam family: Bacterial small subunit ribosomal RNA
Source: RNAcentral
GACGAACGCUGGCGGCGCGCUUAACACAUGCAAGUCGAACGGUGAAGCGCCUUCCUUCUUGGUGGGUGUGGAUGAGUGGCGAAGGGGUGAGCAACAGGAGAGUAACCUGCCGCCUUCUACUGGAUAACCGCAUGAAAGCGUGGAUAAUACAGGAUAUCCUGGGUCUGUCGCAUGAUGGGACAGGGAAAGAUAUUGUUUCGGUGGGGGAUGGGCUCGCGGCCUAUCAGCGUGUGGGUGGGGUGAUGGCCUACCAAGGCGGUGACGGGUAGCCGGCCUGGGAGCGUUGGGUGUCCCACUUGGACUGAGACACGGCCCAGACUCCUACGGGAGACAGCAGUGGGUACUACGGCACGAUGGGGGCAAGCCUGAUGCAGCGUCGCCGCGUGCGGGGUGGAGGCCUGCGGGUUGUGAACAUCUUUCGCCAGUGUAGCAGGCCUGCCUUGUUUGUGGGUAGGUUGACGGUAGCUGGAUAAGAAGCGCCGGCUAACUACGUG